UUUCCCUUGGGACCAGAUGAAGUGCCAAGAAAAGGUGUGUGGCAUCAGGAGUGAGGACAAACUCUGAGAGUCUUCCGCAGUGCUUAUCACAGACAGAGAGGGAACCAUCAACCCACUGGGUCUGAGAGAAGAGAAGACAGUGCAGUCUCUGUAUUGUUUUUGGCCAGAGAACCUAGUUUGUCUUAACAAGAGGUCAUGAAAACCAGUGUCUUUUAAGGUGUCCUUAAGGCUGAGAACUGGCCUUUAGAGGAGAGUCAUCUCUCACAGCGGCUCAAGACCCAAGGCUAUUCAAGAGAAAAGGCAGAAACAAGUACAGGAAAAUAUGUAAAUGCCAGUGGGUGAUUCCUGUACGCUGAAGCUACCACAGGUUCUUCCCACUCCUGGACCCUAAGAUAUGCUGAUCUUCCUUCUGGUUCUGAAACAUGCCCAGCACUUGCUCUCUUUGGUUCUUUGCACUCAUCUUUGCCUGAACUUCAAUGAGAUAUCACCAUUGACAUUUCAGCAUUUGAUUAUUCUGCGUGUAUUCUCUGAAUGGAAGAAUUAUUGACUACCAAGAAAUUCUGGCUUUUCUGUGAAGAUCAGCCUCUUCCUAAGCUGCAUCAACUUCAAAUAUUCUGCUGGCAGUGUCUGCACAAGAGGCUGCUAGGCUUCAGUCUGCUCGGGCCCUGGGAUUCUACAGGGUCUAGAAUCCUAUGGUGCAUGUCUAUUCAUUUCAAAUAGUUUUCAAAAAUAGAAAAAAUGUGAGAGGAUGAAUGCUUAAUAUUAAAUGAAAGGGAUCUUGUGCUACAAAGCACACAUUCUGCCUCUGUUGUAUAGAAUCCUAAUUUUGAGGUUGAAAUUUAUAUUCUUAAUGUAAUUUCAAAGUGGAACAUAGCUUUUAAAACAGGAAAACAAUAAAGGUGGCCAUGCAUAGCUUACAGAUAUGGCUGUGCUGGUAACGCCUGCACCGUGGUGUCAGGGUUCUCCAUGCAUAGGUUACCUUUAAAGCCAGUCAGGAUACCAAGGUAAGUAUUAAAGCACUUGAACCAUACUCUGAGAAAAUAAGGAGCAAGCGAGGGAGAUGCCUGUGAGUUUUGUAUAAACAUUUCUCAUAUUGAGAUUCCAUUUCUCAUUUUGUUUCUGCCUGGGUUCUCCAGGCACUCUACAUAAUGUUAAUUAUAUCUUACAACUCCAGGAUAUCAUUAAGAAUAUGUGAAAUCCUCAUUUAUAUUAUUUUCAAUUUGCAUGUAUUCUUAUAUAUCUUUUGGACUUGAAAAAUUAUAAAAAGGUAAAAAAUCAAAAAGUCAAAACAAAAAUUUCCUUAUGAAUCUCAAUGAUGAACAUGGAAUAUGUACUUGGUGGUACCCUGUACCCACUAAAUAGAAUUGGUGCUUAUAGCUACAUGUGUUUUACUUUCCAGGCUAUAAGAUAGAAGGCCGUUAAUGGAUUUCUAGUUUCAAACAAGGCAUCUUUAGUUAGAAAAUGCAAAUGAAAAUUUUAGUAACCAGUCCUCUAGCACGAUACUUGCCUUACAUGUGAGAGGUGGUUUUGGAAAUCAGUCACAUCAACUUUCAUUUUCCUUACCUGGACAAUAUUUUCAAAUGCAUUAACUUCUAAUAUAGGUUAUUAAGUGUAUGACAAAUCUGAAUAUCCAUUGUGCAUUUAAUUUCAUAUUUUAACAUUUUUAUCCACUUACACGAAGAAACAGAUGUAGAAUACUUUUAUUUUAGGGUCAAUUAUACCAUAUUGAUAAAUGAAAAUGACACUGUACCUUAUUAUUAUCAUUAAUAAAACCAUUCCUUCAAUGGGAAACUUCUAUCUUUUUUACCGAAGGCACAAGC
Non-coding RNA from Globicephala melas (long-finned pilot whale), 1820 nucleotides. The record is from RefSeq and is a predicted model, not a curated record. Lineage: Eukaryota; Metazoa; Chordata; Mammalia; Artiodactyla; Delphinidae.